RNAcentral lists this ribosomal RNA (253 nucleotides) under uncultured bacterium. RNAcentral describes it as "partial 16S ribosomal RNA". It matches the Rfam family "Bacterial small subunit ribosomal RNA", at positions 524 to 776 of the family's 1533-position model. The record is from RNAcentral.
UACAGAGGGGGCAAGCGUUAUUCGGAAUUAUUGGGCGUAAAGGGCGCGUAGGCGGCUUUUCAAGUGACGGGUGAAAUCCCUCGGCUUAACCGAGGAACUGCCUGUCAGACUGGAAGGCUUGAGACCGGGAGAGGUGAGUGGAAUUCCCAGUGUAGCGGUGAAAUGCGUAGAUAUUGGGAGGAACACCAGUGGCGAAGGCGGCUCACUGGACCGGAACUGACGCUGAGGCGCGAAAGCUGGGGGAGCAAACGGG